RNAcentral lists this ribosomal RNA (495 nucleotides) under uncultured bacterium. RNAcentral describes it as "partial 16S ribosomal RNA". It matches the Rfam family "Bacterial small subunit ribosomal RNA", at positions 28 to 507 of the family's 1533-position model. The record is from RNAcentral.
GAUGAACGCUGGCGGCGUGCCUAAUACAUGCAAGUAGAACGCUGAAGGAGGAGCUUGCUCUUCUGGAUGAGUUGCGAACGGGUGAGUAACGCGUAGGUAACCUGCCUGGUAGCGGGGGAUAACUAUUGGAAACGAUAGCUAAUACCGCAUGACAACAGUUAUUGCAUGAUAACUGUUUAAAAGGGGCAACUGCUCCACUACCAGAUGGACCUGCGUUGUAUUAGCUAGUUGGUGAGGUAACGGCUCACCAAGGCGACGAUACAUAGCCGACCUGAGAGGGUGAUCGGCCACACUGGGACUGAGACACGGCCCAGACUCCUACGGGAGGCAGCAGUAGGGAAUCUUCGGCAAUGGACGGAAGUCUGACCGAGCAACGCCGCGUGAGUGAAGAAGGUUUUCGGAUCGUAAAGCUCUGUUGUAAGAGAAGAACGAGUGUGAGAGUGGAAAGUUCACACUGUGACGGUAUCUUACCAGAAAGAGACGGCUAACUACGUG